AACGAACGCUGGCGGCAUGCCUAACACAUGCAGGUCGAACGAGACCUUCGGGUCUAGUGGCGCACGGGUGCGUAACGCGUGGGAACCUGCCCUUAGGUUCGGAAUAACUCCCCGAAAGGGGUGCUAAUACCGGAUAAUGUCUUCGGACCAAAGAUUUAUCGCCUUUGGAUGGGCCCGCGUUGGAUUAGCUAGUUGGUAGGGUAAAAGCCUACCAAGGCGACGAUCCAUAGCUGGUCUGAGAGGAUGAUCAGCCACACUGGGACUGAGACACGGCCCAGACUCCUACGGGAGGCAGCAGUGGGGAAUAUUGGACAAUGGGCGAAAGCCUGAUCCAGCAAUGCCGCGUGAGUGAUGAAGGCCUUAGGGUUGUAAAGCUCUUUUACCCGGGAUGAUAAUGACAGUACCGGGAGAAUAAGCUCCGGCUAACUCCG
RNAcentral lists this ribosomal RNA (431 nucleotides) under uncultured bacterium. RNAcentral's name for it is "partial 16S ribosomal RNA". It matches the Rfam family "Bacterial small subunit ribosomal RNA", at positions 29 to 505 of the family's 1533-position model. The record is from RNAcentral.